GACGAGCGCUGGCGGCGUGCCUAAUACACGCGAGUCGAACGGAAAGGCCCUGCUUUUGUGGGGUGCUCGAGUGGCGAACGGGUGAGUAACACGUGAGUAACCUGCCCUGGACUGUGGGAUAACUUUAGGAAACUGGGGCUAAAACCGGAUAGGAUCUCCUGCUGCAUGGUGGGGGUUGGAAAGUUUCGGCGGUUGGGGAUGGACUCGCGGCUUAUCAGCUUGUUGGUGGGGUAGUGGCUUACCAAGGCUUUGACGGGUAGCCGGCCUGAGAGGGUGACCGGCCACAUUGGGACUGAGAUACGGCCCAGACUCCUACGGGAGGCAGCAGUGGGGAAUAUUGCACAAUGGGCGGAAGCCUGAUGCAGCAACGCCGCGUGCGGGAUGACGGCCUUCGGGUUGUAAACCGCUUUCGCCUGUGACGAAGCGUGAGUGACGGUAAUGGGUAAAGAAGCACCGGCUAACUACGUG
This 468-nucleotide ribosomal RNA is filed under the name uncultured bacterium. RNAcentral describes it as "partial 16S ribosomal RNA". It matches the Rfam family "Bacterial small subunit ribosomal RNA", at positions 28 to 507 of the family's 1533-position model. The record is from RNAcentral.